This 465-nucleotide ribosomal RNA is filed under the name uncultured bacterium. RNAcentral describes it as "partial 16S ribosomal RNA". It matches the Rfam family "Bacterial small subunit ribosomal RNA", at positions 28 to 507 of the family's 1533-position model. The record is from RNAcentral.
GACGAACGCUGGCGGCGUGCUUAACACAUGCAAGUCGAACGGAAAGGCCCUGCUUGCAGGGUACUCGAGUGGCGAACGGGUGAGUAACACGUGGGUGAUCUGCCCUGCACUUCGGGAUAAGCCUGGGAAACUGGGUCUAAUACCGGAUAGGAGCCAUUUUUAGUGUGAUGGUUGGAAAGUUUUUUCGGUGUAGGAUGAGCUCGCGGCCUAUCAGCUUGUUGGUGGGGUAAUGGCCUACCAAGGCGGCGACGGGUAGACGGCCUGAGAGGGUGGACGGCCACAGUAGGACUCAGAGCCGGCCCAGACUCCUGCGAGUGGCAGUAGUGGGGAAUAGUGCACAAUGGGCGAAAGCCUGAUGCAGCGACGCCGCGUGGGGGAUGACGGCCUUCGGGUUGUAAAAUCGUUUCGCUAGAGACGAAGCUUUUUGUGACGGUACCUAGAUAAGAAGCACCGGCUAACGACGUG